This 301-nucleotide ribosomal RNA is filed under the name uncultured bacterium. Its description in RNAcentral is "partial 16S ribosomal RNA". It matches the Rfam family "Bacterial small subunit ribosomal RNA", at positions 509 to 809 of the family's 1533-position model. The record is from RNAcentral.
CAGCCGCCACGGGAAUACGGAGGGUGCAAGCGUUAAUCGGAAUUACUGGGCGUAAAGCGCACGCAGGCGGUCUGUCAAGUCGGAUGUGAAAUCCCCGGGCUCAACCUGGGAACUGCAUUCGAAACUGGCAGGCUAGAGUCUUGUAGAGGGGGGUAGAAUUCCAGGUGUAGCGGUGAAAUGCGUAGAGAUCUGGAGGAAUACCGGUGGCGAAGGCGGCCCCCUGGACAAAGACUGACGCUCAGGUGCGAAAGCGUGGGGAGCAAACAGGAUUAGAUACCCGGGUAGUCCCUGUCUCUUAUAA